RNAcentral lists this ribosomal RNA (550 nucleotides) under uncultured Actinomycetes bacterium. Its description in RNAcentral is "bacterial SSU rRNA". It matches the Rfam family "Bacterial small subunit ribosomal RNA", at positions 254 to 816 of the family's 1533-position model. Lineage: Bacteria; Bacillati; Actinomycetota; Actinomycetes. The record is from RNAcentral.
GGGGUGAUGGCCUACCAAGGCGACGACGGGUAGCCGGCCUGAGAGGCGACCGGCCACACUGGGACUGAGACACGGCCCAGACUCCUACGGGAGGCAGCAGUGGGGAAUAUUGCACAAUGGGCGCAAGCCUGAUGCAGCGACGCCGCGUGAGGGAUGACGGCCUUCGGGUUGUAAACCUCUUUCAGCAGGGAAGAAGCGCAAGUGACGGUACCUGCAGAAGAAGCGCCGGCUAACUACGUGCCAGCAGCCGCGGUAAUACGUAGGGCGCGAGCGUUGUCCGGAAUUAUUGGGCGUAAAGGGCGCGUAGGCGGCCAGGUCAGUCGCAUGUGAAAGGCCGGGGCUCAACCCCGAGCACUGCAUGCGAUACUGCCUGGCUCGAGAGAGGUAGGGGCGAGUGGAAUUCCCGGUGUAGCGGUGGAAUGCGUAGAUAUCGGGAGGAACACCUGUGGCGAAGGCGGCUCGCUGGACCUUUUCUGACGCUGAAGCGCGAAAGCGUGGGUAGCAAACAGGAUUAGAUACCCUGGUAGUCCACGCCGUAAACGAUGGGUAC